CUAUUAACUUUGUCUCAAAUUUUUUAUGUAGCUUGAUCUUCAAGUCCUUCAAGUCCAUGCCAAUUUUCACCUUAAUCCAACUAAUAGAUCUUCAAAUAUCAUAGAAACCCUAUCUAAUCUCAAACUGCUAUCUUCCAAAAUCCUCUUGUGCUAAAAACUAGAUAUCUCAAAACCACAUUGUUAGAUUAUCACACAAUUUUAUAUACUAUUAGCACACCCAAUAGUUCAAAUAAUAUCAAAUUUUCAAUUAUAGAUGUUACACCAAUUGCACGAAUUAGCCAAAAUUACUAGUCUUAGUUAUAUUAUUUAAAAUCCAAAUCACUGAUACAAACCCUAACUUUGAACAACAAUUGCUAAGUC
Molecule: long non-coding RNA, 360 nt
Filed under: Physcomitrium patens
Lineage: Eukaryota; Viridiplantae; Streptophyta; Bryopsida; Funariales; Funariaceae
Description: long non-coding RNA (PPAT_LNC013606)
Source: RNAcentral